This 331-nucleotide unclassified non-coding RNA is filed under the name Hevea brasiliensis (rubber tree). Lineage: Eukaryota; Viridiplantae; Streptophyta; Magnoliopsida; Malpighiales; Euphorbiaceae. The record is from RNAcentral.
UACUUUAGUCUUUUGCUUUUCCUGCAAUAAUGAUAGAACAUAGAGAACAAUCCUUUCAGAAUACCAGCAUAAAAUAUUAUGCCAAAAAUUAAUGGCAAAGUGAUGAACUAAAAUCUUUAAGCACUGUAAAUACUCACACGUUUAAGUAAUUUUCACUUUCUUGCAAAUUUUACAUUUCUUACCUCAUUUUCAUGCCACACAAAUCCAGAGAAACGGGAUAUAUUACUCUUGAUCAGAAUUGCCUGCAAAAGUAAGGAAAGUUGCAUAAAGGUAGGAACAUUGUGAGUUUUAGCUUUUCCACCCCACAGGCAAUCCAUGUUCAAGGUUUUUU